GUGCUCACUUGGGCAGCACAUAUACUAAAAUUAGAACAAUACGAGAUUAGCAUAGACCCUGCACAAGGAUGGCACACAAAUUUGUGAAGCGUUCCGUAUUAGA
Small nuclear RNA from Hyaena hyaena (striped hyena), 103 nucleotides. The record is from RefSeq and is a predicted model, not a curated record. Lineage: Eukaryota; Metazoa; Chordata; Mammalia; Carnivora; Hyaenidae.